This 725-nucleotide ribosomal RNA is filed under the name Escherichia coli. Its description in RNAcentral is "bacterial SSU rRNA". It matches the Rfam family "Bacterial small subunit ribosomal RNA", at positions 797 to 1522 of the family's 1533-position model. The record is from RNAcentral. Lineage: Bacteria; Pseudomonadati; Pseudomonadota; Gammaproteobacteria; Enterobacterales; Enterobacteriaceae.
ACGCCGUAAACGAUGUCGACUUGGAGGUUGUGCCCUUGAGGCGUGGCUUCCGGAGCUAACGCGUUAAGUCGACCGCCUGGGGAGUACGGCCGCAAGGUUAAAACUCAAAUGAAUUGACGGGGGCCCGCACAAGCGGUGGAGCAUGUGGUUUAAUUCGAUGCAACGCGAAGAACCUUACCUGGUCUUGACAUCCACAGAACUUUCCAGAGAUGGAUUGGUGCCUUCGGGAACUGUGAGACAGGUGCUGCAUGGCUGUCGUCAGCUCGUGUUGUGAAAUGUUGGGUUAAGUCCCGCAACGAGCGCAACCCUUAUCCUUUGUUGCCAGCGGUCCGGCCGGGAACUCAAAGGAGACUGCCAGUGAUAAACUGGAGGAAGGUGGGGAUGACGUCAAGUCAUCAUGGCCCUUACGACCAGGGCUACACACGUGCUACAAUGGCGCAUACAAAGAGAAGCGACCUCGCGAGAGCAAGCGGACCUCAUAAAGUGCGUCGUAGUCCGGAUUGGAGUCUGCAACUCGACUCCAUGAAGUCGGAAUCGCUAGUAAUCGUGGAUCAGAAUGCCACGGUGAAUACGUUCCCGGGCCUUGUACACACCGCCCGUCACACCAUGGGAGUGGGUUGCAAAAGAAGUAGGUAGCUUAACCUUCGGGAGGGCGCUUACCACUUUGUGAUUCAUGACUGGGGUGAAGUCGUAACAAGGUAACCGUAGGGGAACCUGCGGUUGGA